RNAcentral lists this ribosomal RNA (253 nucleotides) under uncultured bacterium. RNAcentral describes it as "partial 16S ribosomal RNA". It matches the Rfam family "Bacterial small subunit ribosomal RNA", at positions 524 to 776 of the family's 1533-position model. The record is from RNAcentral.
GACAGGGGGUGCAAGCGUUGCUCGGAAUUACUGGGCGUAAAGCGCACGUAGGCGGUCCCGUAAGUCGGGUGUGAAAGCCCUCAGCCUAACUGAGGAACUGCGCCCGAUACUGCGGGGCUAGAGGACGGGAGGGGAGAGUGGAAUUCCUGGUGGAGCGGUGAAAUGCGUAGAUAUCAGGAGGAAUACCAGUGGCGAAGGCGACUCUCUGGUCCGUUCCUGACGCUGAGGUGCGAAAGCUAGGGGAGCAAACGGG